Molecule: ribosomal RNA, 770 nt
Filed under: uncultured bacterium
Lineage: Bacteria
Description: bacterial SSU rRNA
Rfam family: Bacterial small subunit ribosomal RNA
Source: RNAcentral
AGAGUUUGAUCCUGGCUCAGGACGAACGCUGGCGGCGCGCCUAAUACAUGCAAGUCGAGCGAGAACCAGGGCUUGCCCUGGGGAGAGCGGCGAACGGGUGCGUAUCACGUGAGCAACCUGCCUCAGAGACCGGGAUAACUCGAGGAAACUCGGGCUAAUACCGGAUGCCCUCGGUGGACCGCAUGGUCCGGCGAGGAAAUGGAUUCCGCUCUGAGAUGGGCUCGCGGCCUAUCAGCUUGUUGGUGGGGUAAUGGCCUACCAAGGCAACGACGGGUAGCUGGUCUGAGAGGACGAUCAGCCACACUGGGACUGAGACACGGCCCAGACUCCUACGGGAGGCAGCAGUAGGGAAUCUUGCGCAAUGGGGGAAACCCUGACGCAGCGACGCCGCGUGCGGGAUGAAGGCCUUCGGGUCGUAAACCGCUUUCAGCAGGGACGAAAUUGACGGUACCUGCAGAAGAAGGCCCGGCCAACUACGUGCCAGCAGCCGCGGUGAUACGUAGGGGUCUAGCGUUGUCCGGAAUCAUUGGGCGUAAAGAGCUCGUAGGCGGUUCGAUUAGUCGGGUGUGAAAUCUCCACGCUCAACGUGGAGGGGCCACUCGAUACUGUCGUGACUCGAGUCCGGUAGGGGAGUUCGGAAUUCCCGGUGUAGCGGUGAAAUGCGCAGAUAUCGGGAGGAACACCAGUGGCGAAGGCGGAACUCUGGGCCGGAACUGACGCUGAGGAGCGAAAGCGUGGGGAGCGAACAGGAUUAGAUACCCUAGUAGUCC